AGUGAACGCUGGCGGCAGGCCUAAUACAUGCAAGUCGAACGGCAGCACGGCAGAGCUUGCUCUGUGGGUGGCGAGUGGCGGACGGGUGAGGAAUACAUGGGAAUCUGCCCAGUCGUGGGGGAUAACGUAGGGAAACUUACGCUAAUACCGCAUGCGCCCUUCGGGGGAAAGCCGGGGACCUUCGGGCCUGGCGCGAUUGGAUGAGCCCAUGUCGGAUUAGCUAGUUGGCGGGGUAAUGGCCCACCAAGGCGACGAUCCGUAGCUGGUCUGAGAGGAUGAUCAGCCACACUGGAACUGAGACACGGUCCAGACUCCUACGGGAGGCAGCAGUAGGGAAUAUUGGACAAUGGGCGCAAGCCUGAUCCAGCCAUGCCGCGUGAGUGAAGAAGGCCCUCGGGUUGUAAAGCUCUUUUGUCCGGAAGAAAGCGCCGGGUUAAUACCCUGGUGUCCUGACGGUACUGGAAGAAUAAGCACCGGCUAACUUCGUGCCAGCA
This 494-nucleotide ribosomal RNA is filed under the name uncultured bacterium. RNAcentral describes it as "bacterial SSU rRNA". It matches the Rfam family "Bacterial small subunit ribosomal RNA", at positions 29 to 513 of the family's 1533-position model. The record is from RNAcentral.